CUAGAAUUGACUGGUUUGGACUAAAUGUUGCAAGCGGGGAACCUUGAGCUACCUACGCCAGCGUUCUGGAUUAUUUUCCAAAUUUGGUUCCUGAUAAUCUGAGAAAGCUAUGCGCUCAGUAAGAGCAGGGACCUUGUUUUAUCAAACUUUGAUCUUUCAUUAAGCACACAGUGGGCAUUCAACAAACUUGUGUAAACUUGGAAUCAGAUUUAGCCCAGGCCGGUGCGGUGGCUCCUUCCUGUAAUCCCAGCACUUUGGGAAGCCUAGGAGGGCGGAUCGCUUGAACUCAGGUGUUCGAGACCAGCCUGAGCAACAUAGCGAGGCUCCGUCUCUACAAAAAAUACAAACACUAGCCGGCCCUGUGGUGCAGACCUGUAGUCCCAGCUACUGAAGAGGCUGAGGUGGGAGGAUCCCCUGAGCCCAGGCGGUCGAGGCUGCAGUGAGCUGAGAUCGGGCCUCUCCAUUCCAGCCCGGGCGACAAAGUAAUUUUUAUUUUGCAGCCUGUUUCUUUGUAAAAAGGAGAUAGAGACACUAACUCGCGAGCUGUGAAUAAUGUAUCCGUAUAAGAGGAUUUAUCACAGAUCAUAGUAGGUGCUUAAAAAUAUUGUGUUAUUGGCCGGGCGCGGUGGCUGACUCCUGUGAUCCCAACACUUUGGGAGGCUGAAGCAGGCGGAUCAUGAGGUCAAGAGAUCAAGACCAUUCUGGCCAACAUGGUGAAACUCCCUGUCUACUAAAAAUACAAAAAUUAGCUAGGCAUGGUGGCGCGUGCCUAUAGUCCUAGCUACUCGGGAGGCUGAGGCAGGAGAAUCGCUUGAACCCGGGAGGCAGAGGUUGCAGUGAGCUAAGAUUGUGCCACUGCACUCCAGCCUGGAGACAGAGUGAGACUCUGCACCCCCCCAAAAAAAUUGUGUUAUUAAAAUACAAAUGGCAGCUUCCACUCCACUGUAAUUGUCAAUUACAAGCUUAACUACAACUCACUGAGGUAUGAAGUGAAUGAGUUAUAGACCACAUAAGCAAAGUACUACAGGAACAAUGAAUAAGAAAACGUUACUUCUGUCAGAUAAUAUAUAAUUUGCCCUUAGGUCGUCAAUAACGCACUCCUUUAAAACUCUAAAUAUUGCACAGCAUCUACUGCAUCUCAAACAGUAGAGCCUCAAUGGCAAAGCCUUCACUGACUUCUUCAGAAAAAGUUAGGAUUGUUCCACUCCCCUCAGGACUCUGUAAGGUGUGGGCAGGGCACCGUGGCUCACGCCUGUAAUCCCAGCACUUUGGGACGCUGAGGCGGGUGGAUCACCUGAGGUCAAGAGUUCCAGACCAGCCUGGCCACCAUGGUGAAACCCCCAUCUUCCACUAAAAAUAAAAAAAAAUUAGCUGUGCGUGGUGGUGGGUGACUGUAAUCCCAGCUACUCGGGAGGCUGAGGCAGGAGAAUCGCUUGAACCCAGGAGGCAGGAGUUGCAGUGAGCUGAGAUCGUGCCACUGCACUCCAGCCUGGACAACAAGGGCAAAACUCCGACUCAAAAAAUAAAUGAAUAAAACUCUGGUAUUGUGUUUUGAUGGAAAGUACUAUGACUUCGGAGUACCACGAACCUGGAUUUCAGUCCCAGUUUUGUUGCUGUUAACCACUUCAGAUUUAAUGUCUUCAUCUGUAAAAUCGAAUAUAUGAAAAUGUAUGUCUUCUGUUUUGUGAAAAGUAAAUGAUAUAUGUAAAAACAGUAGGUGUUGCAGAAUGGGUACUCAGUAAAUGCCACUUCUCUACCCCUACUAAUUUCAAAGCUUUAUCUUUGUUUCUCCGGCACCCUAAUGUCUGGCACUUUAAAUGUUUGCUGAAUGAAUUAAUGAGUAAAAGAAGAGAAAUAAAAUGACAUUUCUCUUGCUAUGGAAUUGUUAAUGUCAUAAAAAACAAUACAAAUCAUUUUAUAUUGAUUUGUGAAAAAAAUUAUGAAUGAAAGGAUAACUACAUUACUGAAAAAAUGUUAACAACUUUAUU
This 1988-nucleotide long non-coding RNA is filed under the name Homo sapiens (human). RNAcentral's name for it is "HSALNT0337110". Lineage: Eukaryota; Metazoa; Chordata; Mammalia; Primates; Hominidae. The record is from RNAcentral.